UCCCUGAUGGCUCAGCUGGUAGAGAACCUGCCUGCAGUGCAGGAAACCUGGGUUCGAGCCCUGGGCUGAGAA
This 72-nucleotide transfer RNA is filed under the name Bos taurus (domestic cattle). It matches the Rfam family "tRNA". From Rfam's summary of the family: Transfer RNA (tRNA) molecules are approximately 80 nucleotides in length. Their secondary structure includes four short double-helical elements and three loops (D, anti-codon, and T loops). RNAcentral also lists the same sequence under 1 other name. The record is from Rfam by way of RNAcentral. Lineage: Eukaryota; Metazoa; Chordata; Mammalia; Artiodactyla; Bovidae.